Molecule: transfer RNA, 72 nt
Filed under: Marmota marmota marmota (Alpine marmot)
Lineage: Eukaryota; Metazoa; Chordata; Mammalia; Rodentia; Sciuridae
Also listed under: 1 other name
Rfam family: tRNA
About the family: Transfer RNA (tRNA) molecules are approximately 80 nucleotides in length.
Source: Rfam by way of RNAcentral
GGGGAUAUAGCUCAGUUGGUAGAGUGCUUGCCUGGCAUGCAAAAGGCCCUGGGUUCAAUCCCCAGAACCACA